Molecule: ribosomal RNA, 468 nt
Filed under: uncultured bacterium
Lineage: Bacteria
Description: partial 16S ribosomal RNA
Rfam family: Bacterial small subunit ribosomal RNA
Source: RNAcentral
GACGAACGCUGGCGGCGUGCUUAACACAUGCAAGUCGAACGGCAAGGCCCUGCUUUUGUGGGGUUCUCGAGUGGCGAACGGGGGAGUAACACGUGAGUAACCUGCCCUUGACUUUGGGAUAACUUCAGGAAACUGGGGCUAAUACCGGAUAGGAGCUCCUGCUGCAUGGUGGGGGUUGGAAAGUUUCGGCGGUUGGGGAUGGAUUCGCGGCUUAUCAGCUAGUUGGUGGGGUAGUGGCUUACCAAGGCUUUGACGGGUAGCCGGCCUGGGAGGGUGACCGGCCACAUUGGGCCUGAGAGACGGCCCAGACGCGAACAGGAGACAGCAGUGGGAAAUAUUGCCCAAUGAGCGGGAGCCUGAUGCGGCGACGCCGCGUGCGUGAUGACGGCCUUCUGGUUGUAAACCGCUUUCGCCUGUGACGAAGCGUGAGUGACGGUAAUGGGUAAAGAAGCACCGGCUAACUACGUG